AGUUCUCUCAGCUCCGUUAACCUCUCUCUCUCUCUCUGCCUCAGCUGAAUUGCUAGAAUGAGUCCACCUCGCCGACUCUCCAUUUUUGCAUGCCUCAUCCUCCUCCUACACGAAGCUCCGCCGACAACCGCCUUGAGCGGCGAGGAUUUCACCGGCGGCUAUUCCAAGCUCUCAGGCAUCAUAAUCCCCGGCUUCGCCUCCACUCAGCUUCGAGCAUGGUCCGUCCUGGACUGUCCUUACUCGCCUCUCGACUUCAACCCUCUCGACCUCGUCUGGCUAGAUACAACCAAACUUAUUUCUGCAGUGAAUUGUUGGCUUAAAUGCUUGGCGCUGGAUCCGUACAAUCAAACAGAUCACCCUGAGUGCAAGUCACGACCUGAUAGUGGUCUUUCUGCAAUCACUGAACUUGAUCCAGGUUAUAUAACAGGUCCUCUGUCUUCAGUAUGGAAGGAAUGGAUUAAGUGGUGCAUUGAGUUUGGUAUUGAGGCUAAUGCAAUCCUUGCUGCUCCAUAUGAUUGGAGAUUGUCACCAUCAGUGCUUGAGGAACGAGACCUUUACUUUCACAAACUAAAGCUGACUUUUGAAACUGCUCUCAAACUUCGUGGUGGUCCCUCUGUAGUUUUUGCCCAUUCGAUGGGUAAUAAUGUCUUUCGUUAUUUUCUGGAGUGGUUAAAGCUGGAAAUUGCUCCAAAAAAAUAUAUCCAAUGGUUAGACGAACAUAUUCAUGCUUAUUUUGCUGUUGGAGCCCCUUUUCUUGGUUCAACUGAGGCAGUUACAGCAACAUUUUCUGGACGCACGUUUGGUCUUCCUCUUUCUGAGGGAACAGCUCGAUUGAUGUUCAAUUCAUUCGGUUCUUCAUUGUGGAUGAUGCCGUUUUCCAAGAAUUGUAGAUCAAAUAAUAUGUAUUGGAAGCAUUUCUCUGGUGGGAGCCAAAAGCAUCAUCACACUUACCAGUGUAAUGAACAGGAAUUUCAAUCCAACUGUUCUGGAUGGCCCACUAAUAUAGUCAAUAUUGAAAUUCCUUCAAUGCAUGGUAUUGAUGCCUAUCCACCACUUUCAGAAGUAGCACAGACUAACUUAUCUUCCAUGGAAUGUGGACUGCCUACCCAGCUGUCUUUCUCUGCUCGUGAAAUAUCAGAUGGGACCUUGUUUAAAGCAAUAGAGGAUUAUGAUCAAGACAGCAAAAGGCUCUUGUAUCAUUUACAGAAGUUCUAUCACGAUGAUCCAGUUCUGAAUCCACUUACACCUUGGGACAGACCACCUCUGAAGAACAUCUUUUGCAUCUAUGGAAUAGAUUCAAAGACAGAGGUUGGUUACUAUUUUGCACCAAGUGGCAAGCCUUAUCCUGAUAAUUGGAUCAUAACUGAUGUCAUUUAUGAAAUGGAAGGAUCUUUAUUCUCAAGGUCUGGGAAUCUUGUUGAAGGGAACUCUGGAGCUGCAAGUGGGGAUGAGACGGUACCUUACCAUUCUCUAUCUUGGUGCAAAAACUGGCUUGGACCAAAAGUGAACAUAACAAGGGCUCCACUGUCAGAGCACGAUGGGUCUGAUGUGCAAGUGGAACUAAAUGUAGAACAUCAGCAUGAAGCAGAUAUAGUUCCCAACAUGACACGGUCUCCUAGGGUUAAAUACAUAACGUACUAUGAAGAUUCUGAAAGUAUUCCGGGAAAGAGGACAGCUGUUUGGGAGUUUGAUAAAGGUUCUCAUAGGAACAUUGUUAGAACCCCAGCUCUGAUGCGGGAGUUGUGGCUCCAGUUGUGGCAUGAUAUUCAUCCUGAUGCAAAAUCAAAAUUUGUUACAAAAGCAAAGCGUGGACCUCUAAGGAAUGAGGAGUGUUACUGGGAUUAUGGAAAAGCUCGGUGUGCAUGGCCUGAAUACUGUGAAUACAGGUAUGUCUUUGGAGAUGUUCACCUAGGACAGAGCUGUAGAUUAAAGAAUUCUUCAGCUCAUAUGCUUUUGAGUUAUUUAUAGAUUUCAAGUUGGAGAAGAAUGUGCAGAUUGACGGGGUGUUUCUUGCCUUUGCAGUUGCUCUGUGGGAGAGUCUAGUUUUCCUUGCUUCCCUAUGGUCUUCUGCUGCUGGUUUCUUCAAGGGGUUUUUGAUGAGGCAUUGGUGCUGCAAUGGACAGUUGAUGCUUUCUUGUUGGUGUAGCAAUGGUAUAAUGGUAUUAGGAGGAGUAAGAGAAGCAUUGUCUUACGGAGAUGAUCUGUUUUUGCCCUUUUUUGGACCUUGUGGAAUGAAAGGAAUGCAAAAAUUUUUAAUGGAAAAACUCCUCCCUUACAUCUAUUAAGGGAUGAACUAUUUUACUUGCUUCCUUUUGGGCUUUUGGGAAUUUUUUCAGGGAAUUUUGUUGAUUGAUCUUUUGAAGGAUUGGAGAGGGGUUCUAACGUGACUCUGUUUUUGUUUGUUUUUUGGAGGAUAUCUUAUCCUCUACUCUUUGUAACUUUCUCUCUUUUCUGUGAAUGAAGUUCUUUUUCUAUUUAAAAAAAUUAGAAUCAAAUACUCCAGCAAAAUACACUUCCUAAAAAUUUCCAACAAUUGGAAGCAAUAUCUUAAAAUUGUCGUAGUUUACUAUUCAAAAUAGGUAAAUAGUUUAAUUUGACCACCAAUUCAAGUAUUAAAAAAAUUGGAAACAUUUUCCAAAUCAAAACUGAUUUUUAUGGAAACAAAAUAUUUAUUUUACUGAAAAAUAUUAAUAAAAAAUAUCAUAAAAUAAAUUUUAAUUUCCAAAAUUAAUUUACAUGGAACAUGUCUGAUGCCCUAAGCUUGACAUCAUGCCAAGUUGAGAAUGAUAAUUACUGCCACAAGUGCGGUGCUACUCAUUUUUGGCUAUUACACAUGGUGGGGCCAAAGUUACCCAUGGGUCACCACUAUCAUGGUGGCUUCCAGCUGCUGGUGACUAGAAACUAAGCAAAACCAUGAGGGGCUGUUUGGUAUCAAUGUAAAAAAUUAUAACGAAAAUUAGAAAUGAAAACUAAAAACUAGAAACUUAUAUUUCUAAAACUAAAAUAAAUUAAAUAACUUUAUUAAACAAAUGCUCAUUUUUGUCCUUGAAUCAAAUAACAAUUUAAAAGAUAUGAUUAAAAUUUAAAAAGAAGCACAAUAUAAUACAAAUUAAAACUACUAAAAUAAAAAUAAAAAUUGUUGUAAUUAUUUUACUUAAUUAUUAUAUUUCAAAACACUUUACAAGAACAUCCUUAUUGUACAUAACAAUUGAAAAAUAGUAAAAAAUAUUUUAUAGAUGACUUUAUCAUUUUUAAAUUUUUUGUAGUUUUAUGAAAAUUUUUAUAUUUUAAAUUCAUAUGAUCAUUUUUAUUUUAUUUUAAUUAAAAAUUAUUUAUAAAAUGAAUGAUUUAAUAAAAAAAAGAAGUUAAUUUUUAAUAUUAAAAUAUGUCGGCAACAAGGUGCCAAAACAGUAGAAAACCAUAAAAUCAAGUUUUAAGUUUUUUUGAAAAUAGCUGAAAACCGACAAUAAAAAUGGAAAUGUAAAUAAAUGUGUUUUCAUAAUAGUUUCUUCACUGUACAGAAAUGAAAACAAAAAUAAAAAAAAUAAAAAAACAAAAAGGAUACCAAACUGACCCCGAGUAACCCAAUAUUGAUAAGGUGCUGGAAUUUUCCAAUUAUUCAUGUUAUUUCUCCAAUGGCAGCUGUCAAAUACUGAUUUAAUGCCUUCUAGUCGAUGCAUGAAUGUCCCCUAAUAACGCAUGGAGGCUACCAGCCCAAAAUCACAAUCAAUAUUCAUAGAGAAGCAUGAAUCCUCGCGUAGUCCUAUGGUUCAAAUUUGGCGAGGCAUGGAACAAGUUUAGUGCCCCAUUGAUGUUGAAGCAAGAAUUGUUGGACUACUGCUAAGGUUCAAUUGUGGCAAAGGCAUGGAACAGCUUUAGUACCCCAUGAUCAAUCAUGUGGGUGCCAAUGCAAGGCCAUCCAAUGCAUGAAGGAAAAUUAAUGAAAAGCAUAGUUAAUCAUUGUAUAACCAUAACCAUACAAACUCAACCAUUCCACGCAUAACCAUUAUACAACAUGAAAGCCAAAUCAAAACCAAGAAAUAUCUAGCUUUUGUAUGCAUUAAUUACAGCAACGUAACAACUUUCAUACCAGGAAAUCGAAGAUGUGCUAAAUUGUUCUCUAUCAAAUCAUAGUCUAGAGCCAAAUGAAACUGAUUCCACUUCCACUUGAGCAAGAAGAGCUACCGACUCUAAAGUAUGCUGACCACAGACUGACUAUAGCACCAACAGCUAGCUCGCUGUUACCUGGUAUCAGAUCUUUCCUAAAUGAAUAAUUUGCCCCUUCUCCCAAGGGGGGCCGACGUAGCUUCUCCGGACCCAAGUGUUCGUAUUGGAACAGACAUAGCGCUACUCUUCCUAAGGAACGUAGCACUAGUUCUCUUCUUUUUAUCGGGAGGGAAGUGCUGUUCUACUCAUAGCCAUGUUCCUGAAGCCCCCAAAAACGCGUAGGGAACGGGGCAUAUGAGGGGUAGAACGGUGCUUACCUCCCUCAAGAGUGUUUCCUCUUUUUGGCUUGAAGAGAAGUGUCUUAAUUCGCUUGUUAGUGAGCAGAUAUCAUUGCAAAACAAUCAUUUUUGCAAGACUAUGCGGCGAAAACGAACAAAAAUAAUAAAAGCAUGCACAGAACCAUGACUCUACAACAUUUGAGAAUCAAUAAUGAGAACAGGAGAACACCAACUUUUGGAUUCAAUGUAGCUUUACAAGUUCUCUUUUUGAGGCUAAUGCAAUCAAGAAACUCUCACAACCAUUUAAGUAUUUCCCUUCGUUACGAUUUUUUCCCUCAUGCAUCUUAUGCAUUUAUCCCUCUUUUUAUUCUCAUUUUACUUUGUCCUAUUUGUGUGUGGCCAGUUAGAUUUAUUGCAGAAAAGACAAGCUUUAGGAAACAUACACCUGUAAGCCAUUGGAGUUUUAUGGAAUAAAAUGUCAUUGUGAACUACAGUUGUUUCUUUUUCAAAUGAUUGAUUUUUCUGGGGGAGAUUUUCUCUUGAAUUUAGUUGUAAGUUUGCUUUGACCCUGCUGAGAUGUCGUUGAUUCUUAACCCAUGUUUUAGGACAAAACCCCAUAUAAAAAGUUAGGUUUGAGUCGAGACCUCUUUGGAGAAAUUAUUCCAUGUAUGUUUGACGUAGCAUUUGGAAAAAAUAUAGAUGACUUUUGGUGCACUGUUAUAAUGGUGUUGUGUCUGUGUCUAACAUUUGACAGUCUUGGGAUACACUUCCAUCAUGUAUACUUAUAUUUUGUGUGUGUGUGUGUGUGUGUGUUAUGUCCAGUGUUUGAUAAAUGUAAAAAUUUCAAGAUAUAUUUUUCAUACAAACUACUAAUUGUAAAUUUUUUAUAUAUAUUUUUACUUGUUGAAAAAGCAAAGAUAAUUCCAUUUAGACUUACACUAGAAGAGGCUCUAACAUGUGGAGGCAUAUUGUGACACAUUAAUGGCUUGAAAUAAUUCAAUGUACACUCAAUGUGGUACUUAUCUCUCAUCAAAGCCCACAACUGUUUUGAUAAGCAAUGAUAACCCUGUCAAGACUUCGCACAUACACUCCACAAAGUCUUGACUUUUGGAGGCAUACGCAGAUGCUUCAAGGGUCUGAAAUAACUCGCACGCACUUGAUAAGAACUUAGCCCUUACAAAAAUCUACUACCUUUUUUUUUUUGGGUAGAAGCAAUGAUAAUCCUGACAAGACUUGCACACAUACAGAAGAAAAGCACAAAUUUUGGUGAUGUGCGAAUUUUUGGUUUUAUUCUUAAUAUAUUAUUUACUAGGGUAAAAUACACUGACUUCCUAUAAAGUUUGUUAAAAAGUUACAAUCCCCUUUAGCAUUCCAAAAA
RNA transcript from Malania oleifera, 5823 nucleotides. It is a transcript of the gene named phospholipid--sterol O-acyltransferase, with no coding region annotated. The record is from RefSeq and is a predicted model, not a curated record. The transcript is spliced from 17 exons. Lineage: Eukaryota; Viridiplantae; Streptophyta; Magnoliopsida; Santalales; Ximeniaceae.